Acanthopagrus latus (yellowfin seabream) is the source of this 712-nucleotide long non-coding RNA. RefSeq lists it as uncharacterized. Lineage: Eukaryota; Metazoa; Chordata; Actinopteri; Spariformes; Sparidae. The record is from RefSeq and is a predicted model, not a curated record. The transcript has 5 exons.
GCUGCCAUAAUUCUCUGCUAUCUCAGCCUAACAAGGGGGGAUGACUGUCACGAGGAAAGCAAAGAGGGGUGGGAAUCUGCUCAUCUUGAUAUCAAGACAACGAGUAGACAGCUACAGUAGUGUGGCGUCAGGCCGGAGAGCUGGCCCUAAUAUGUGACGUCAAACAUCCCACCGGUGGGAUGAAAGAAGUGGACCGGUUCCGCCCCCGUCCUGGUGGUCAGGUCCGUCGGUUAAACAGUUCCAACAUCGCUUACAGACAGGGGCUCCUCCGCCUCUCUAUCCUCCUGCUUGGGGACGUCCAGCCGGUCUAUGAAGCUCUGCAGCUCUUUCCUGAAGGCUUUCAUCUGGGCAUUGAUACGAUACAGAAGCUCAUGCUCUCUAAUCCUGUGGAGCAGAAGUAGAUCUGGCGAACAGCUCCCCGUUGGUGACGUAUACCCGGGCCUCUGCGAUGAUAGUGCUGGUGUCAGCGAUAAGCCUAUCGAUGGUCCGGCCCAGCCUCUCCGCUUCGAUGCGGAUGUCUAUCAUCUGUUGCCGGUCCUUCAGGCUUCUGGAUAAAAAACGACUAUCCACGGGGCCCUCGCGUUUGCGGUGGGGCGGGAGGAGACGAGGGGAGGAAGCCGAGGCCGAGGGGGUGUCAUCAUCCCGACCUCCGUCACUCUCUGCGUCACUGUCCCGAGGGCUGCCACGGAUGCCCAGGUGGGAUGCAAGGUCG